Molecule: transfer RNA, 60 nt
Filed under: Alteromonas mediterranea U8
Lineage: Bacteria; Pseudomonadati; Pseudomonadota; Gammaproteobacteria; Alteromonadales; Alteromonadaceae
Description: tRNA-Und (NNN) (tRNA-Und-NNN-8-1)
Source: RNAcentral
GUGGUGGAAUUGGUAGACACGCUGGAUGGGUCGCAAGUUCGAAUCUCGCCGUAGCCACCA